This 489-nucleotide long non-coding RNA is filed under the name Homo sapiens (human). RNAcentral describes it as "HSALNT0291019". Lineage: Eukaryota; Metazoa; Chordata; Mammalia; Primates; Hominidae. The record is from RNAcentral.
UGCUUUAGUAGGGGAGUAAGGAUGUCUGGGAUUUUCCACCUUGCCUGUGCCAUGCUUGUUAGCCCCUGUGGCCAGUAUAUGAGUGUGAAGGAGGAGUCAGCCUUCUCCAUCUCCUUUGAAAAGUGAUCUCCUCUUUUUUCAAAUGAGAAAGGAUCCCCAGGAUGCUUUUAGGCAAUGACAGUUUCUUUUUUUUUUUUUUUGAGACGGAGUCUUGCACUGUCACCCAGGCUGGAGUGCAGUGGUGCGAUCUCGGCUCACUGCAACCUCUGCCUCCCAGGUUCAAGCGAUUCUCCUGCCUCAGCCUCCCAAGUAGCUGGGAUUACAUGCGCCAGCCACCAUGGCCAGCUAAUUUUUUGUAUUUUUAGUAGAGAUGGGGUUUCCCUAUGUUGGCCAGGCUGGUCUCGAACUCCUGACCUCAGGAGUUCCCAGCCAACAGUUUCUUGACAGAUCAAAUAUGGGGCCCAAGGAUAAAGAACCAACAUUUAACUC